GUCCAAUAGAUGGGAGUCUCCUCCACUCUGUCCAAUAGACAGUCUCAUCCACUCUGUCCAAUAGAUGGGAGUCUCCUCCACUCUGUCCAAUAGACGGAGUCUUCUCCACUCUGUCCAAUAGACAGAGUCUCCAUCCCUCUGUCCAAUAGACGGAGUCUCCUCCACUCUGUCCAAUAGAUGGGAGUCUCCUCCAGUCUGUCCAAUAGACAGAGUCUCCUCCACUCUGUCCAAUAGAUGGGAGUCUCCUCCACUCUGUCCAAUAGAAUGGAGUCUCCUCCACUCUGUCCAAUAGACGGAGUAUCCUCCACUCUGUCCAAUAGACGGAGUAUCCUCCACUCUGUCCAAUAGAUGGGAGUCUCCUCCACUCUGUCCAAUAGAUGGGAGUCUCCUCCACUCUGUACAAUAGAUGGGAGUCUCCUCCACUCUGUCCAAUAGAUGGGAGUCUCCUCCACUCUGUCCAAUAGAUGGGAGUCUCCUCCACUCUGUCCAAUAGAUGGUAGUCUCCUCCACUCUGUCCAAUAGACAGGAUCUCCUCCACUCUGUCCAAUACAUGGGAGUCUCCUCCACUCUGUCCAAUAGAUGGGAGUCUCCUCCACUCUGUCCAAUAGAUGGGAGUCUCCUCCACUCUGUCCAAUAGACGGAGUCUCCUCCACUCUGUCAAAUAGACGGAGUCUCCUCCACUCUGUCCAAUAGACGGAGUCUCCUCCACUCUGUCCAAUAGACGGAGUCUCCUCCACUCUGUCCAAUAGACGGAGUCUCCUCCACUUUGUCCAAUAGACGGAGUCUCCUCCACUCUGUACAAUAGACGGAGUCUCCUCUACUCUGUCCAAUAGAUGGGAGUCUCCUCCACUCUGUCCAAUAGACGGAGUCUCCUCUACUCUGUCCAAUAGAUGGGAGUCUCCUCCACUCUGUCCAAUAGAUGGGAGUCUCCUCCACUCUGUCCAAAAGAUGGGAGUCUCCUCCACUCUGUACAAUAGAUGGGAGUCUCCUCCACUCUGUCCAAUAGAUGGG
Oncorhynchus tshawytscha (Chinook salmon) is the source of this 1011-nucleotide long non-coding RNA. Lineage: Eukaryota; Metazoa; Chordata; Actinopteri; Salmoniformes; Salmonidae. The record is from Ensembl.